GUAACGGGGUGUUAGGGCACGACACCGGAGAGGGAGCCUGAGAAACGGCUACCACAUCCAAGGAUGGCAGCAGGCGCGCAAAUUACCCCAAUCCCGACACGGGGAGGUAGUGACAAUAAAUAACAAUACGGGGUUCUAUAGGAUUUCGUAAUUGGAAUGAGUACAAUUUAAAUCUCUUAACGAUCAACAAUUGGAGGGCAAGUCUGGUGCCAGCAGCCGCGGUAAUUCCAGCUCCAAUAGCGUAUAUUAAAGUUGUUGCAGUUAAAAAGCUCGUAGUUGAAUUUCGGGGUUAGUAGGUUGGUCAUGCCUCUGGUAUGUACUGAUCUCACUGAUUCCUCCCUCUUGACGAACUGUAAUGUCAUUAAUUUGGUGUCGCAGGGAAUCAGGACUGUUACUUUGAAAAAAUUAGAGUGUUUAAAGCAGGCUUUAGCUUGAAUACAUUAGCAUGGAAUAAUGAAAUAGGACGUUUGAUCCUAUUUUGUUGGUUUCUAGGAUUGACGUAAUGAUUAAUAGGGAUAGUUGGGGGCAUUAGUAUUCAAUUGUCAGAGGUGAAAUUCUUGGAUUUAUUGAAGACUAACUACUGCGAAAGCAUUUGCCAAGGAUGUUUUCAUUAAUCAAGAACGAAAGUUAGGGGAUCGAAGACGAUCAGAUACC
This 654-nucleotide ribosomal RNA is filed under the name Glomeromycotina sp. AB-2014. Its description in RNAcentral is "SSU rRNA". It matches the Rfam family "Eukaryotic small subunit ribosomal RNA", at positions 359 to 1016 of the family's 1831-position model. The record is from RNAcentral. Lineage: Eukaryota; Fungi; Glomeromycota.